GGCAUUUGGUGGAUGCCUUGGCGUGUAGAGGCGAUGAAGGACGUUGCACCCUGCGAAAAGCUUCGGGGAGCUGGGAGCGAGCUUUGAUCCGAAGAUAUCCGAAUGGGGAAACCCACCGCUUCGGCGGUAUCGUGCGGUGAAUCCAUAGCCGCGCGAGGCGAACCCGGCGAACUGAAACAUCUCAGUAGCCGGAGGAAAGGACAUCAACCGAGACUCCGUUAGU
Molecule: ribosomal RNA, 223 nt
Filed under: uncultured Symbiodinium
Lineage: Eukaryota; Dinophyceae; Suessiales; Symbiodiniaceae
Description: partial Bacterial large subunit ribosomal RNA
Rfam family: Bacterial large subunit ribosomal RNA
Source: RNAcentral